GAUGAACGCUGGCGGCGUGCCUAAUACAUGCAAGUCGAGCGAACAGACGAGGAGCUUGCUCCUCUGACGUUAGCGGCGGACGGGUGAGUAACACGUGGAUAACCUACCUAUAAGACUGGGAUAACUUCGGGAAACCGGAGCUAAUACCGGAUAAUAUAAUGAACCGCAUGGUUCAAUAGUGAAAGACGGUUUUGCUGUCACUUAUAGAUGGAUCCGCGCCGCAUUAGCUAGUUGGUAAGGUAACGGCUUACCAAGGCGACGAUGCGUAGCCGACCUGAGAGGGUGAUCGGCCACACUGGAACUGAGACACGGUCCAGACUCCUACGGGAGGCAGCAGUAGGGAAUCUUCCGCAAUGGGCGAAAGCUUGACGGAGCAACGCCGCGUGAGUGAUGAAGGUCUUCGGAUCGUAAAACUCUGUUAUUAGGGAAGAACAAAUGUGUAAGUAACUAUGCACGUCUUGACGGUACCUAAUCAGAAAGCCACGGCUAACUACGUG
RNAcentral lists this ribosomal RNA (497 nucleotides) under uncultured bacterium. Its description in RNAcentral is "partial 16S ribosomal RNA". It matches the Rfam family "Bacterial small subunit ribosomal RNA", at positions 28 to 507 of the family's 1533-position model. The record is from RNAcentral.